Nilaparvata lugens (brown planthopper) is the source of this 1083-nucleotide long non-coding RNA. RefSeq lists it as uncharacterized. The transcript has 2 exons. The record is from RefSeq and is a predicted model, not a curated record. Lineage: Eukaryota; Metazoa; Arthropoda; Insecta; Hemiptera; Delphacidae.
UCAAUAGGAUUUUAAUCAACUGAUCAAUAGAACUAGAUAUUAUUUUGAGCCUCCAUGAAAAUUCAAUAGAAUAAUUUAUUCACAGUAUUGACAUUAAUCAAGAGCUCCGGCUGGCAAAACAUUCAAUAGGAAUUCAAUCAACAAUCAAUAGGAUUAAUCAACUGAUCAGUAGAGCUAGAGAUUAUUCUGAGCCUCCAUGAAAAUUCAAUAGAAGAAUUUAUUCACAGUAUUGACAUUAAUCAACAGCUCCGGCUGGCAAAACAUUCAAUAGAAAUUCAAUCAACAAUCAAUAGGAUUUUAAUCAACUGAUCAAUAGAACUAGAGAUCAUUUCAAGCCUCCCUGAUAAUUCAAUAGAGGUAUUUAUUCACCGUAUUGACAUUAAUCAAGAGCUCCGGCUGGCAAAACAUUAAAUAGGAAUUCAAUCAACAGUCAAUAGGGUUUCAAUAGAACUAUUGAUUAUCUCACGCCUCUCUGACAAUAGAGUGAAGGAUUCAAUCAACAGUAUUUACAUUAAUCAUGAGCUCUGGCUUACGCAACAUUCAAUACAAAUUUAAUCAACUGUUCAAUACAAUUGAUUAUCCACAGCUUUUCCGAUAAUCCUGUACUUAUAUUUUGAUAUAAAUACAGCUUCCUUAACGCUCAGAAAAUCAGAAACAUCAGGGAAAAUAGUGCUGCCAUACACGAUUUUGCAGAUCUAAUCUCCAUCACAAUCUUCGCAAAAUGAAGUUGUUCCACGUGGUUCUCGUAGCAUCAGCGUUGGUGGUGAUGAGUCUUAUGACUCCAGUCCUUGCCGAUCCCCGCCCCAGGGGAGGCCAUCUGCCACCCGGUCGCAAAUGAUUCCUCAUUUUUCAAAUUGUUUCAAUUUUUUAAAAUUAUUUUUUGUGUGUUGGUUUUUAAAUGAAACAAUGUAAUAAAAGCAAUUGCUUCUUGAGGAAUUGAAGUUUUUGAUCGAUUAAACCAUAUUACUGUACUACAAAUGAUUCUUCAUUUCCAAGUUGUUUCAAAUUUUCAAUAAUUUUUUCUGUGUGUGUGUGUGUGUUUAAUUGAAACAAUGCAAUAAAAGCAUUUGCUACUUGAGGAAU